AACAGGAUUAGAUACCCUGGUAGUCCACGCCCUAAACGAUGUCUACUAGUUGUCGGGUUUUAAUUAACUUGGUAACGCAGCUAACGCGUGAAGUAGACCGCCUGGGGAGUACGGUCGCAAGAUUAAAACUCAAAGGAAUUGACGGGGACCCGCACAAGCGGUGGAUGAUGUGGAUUAAUUCGAUGCAACGCGAAAAACCUUACCUACCCUUGACAUGUACGGAAGACCGAAGAGAUUUGGUUGUGCUCGAAAGAGAGCCGUAACACAGGUGCUGCAUGGCUGUCGUCAGCUCGUGUCGUGAGAUGUUGGGUUAAGUCCCGCAACGAGCGCAACCCUUGUCAUUAGUUGCUACAUUUAGUUGAGCACUCUAAUGAGACUGCCGGUGACAAACCGGAGGAAGGUGGGGAUGACGUCAAGUCCUCAUGGCCCUUAUGGGUAAGGCUUCACACGUCAUACAAUGGUACAUACAGAGGGCCGCCAACCCGCGAGGGGGAGCUAAUCCCAGAAAGUGUAUCGUAGUCCGGAUCGUAGUCUGCAACUCGACUACGUGAAGUUGGAAUCGCUAGUAAUCGCGGAUCAGCAUGUCGCGGUGAAUACGUUCCCGGGUCUUGUACACACCGCCCGUCACACCAUGGGAGCGGGUUUUACCAGAAGUAGGUAGCUUAACCGUAAGGAGGGCGCUUACCACGGUAAGAUUCGUGACUGGGGGUGAAGUCGUAACAAGGUAACC
RNAcentral lists this ribosomal RNA (730 nucleotides) under uncultured bacterium. RNAcentral describes it as "bacterial SSU rRNA". It matches the Rfam family "Bacterial small subunit ribosomal RNA", at positions 771 to 1501 of the family's 1533-position model. The record is from RNAcentral.